This 496-nucleotide ribosomal RNA is filed under the name uncultured bacterium. Its description in RNAcentral is "partial 16S ribosomal RNA". It matches the Rfam family "Bacterial small subunit ribosomal RNA", at positions 28 to 507 of the family's 1533-position model. The record is from RNAcentral.
GACGAACGCUGGCGGCGUGCCUAAUACAUGCAAGUUGAGCGAUGAAGAUUGGUGCUUGCACCAAUUUGAAGAGCAGCGAACGGGUGAGUAACGCGUGGGGAAUCUGCCUUUGAGCGGGGGACAACAUUUGGAAACGAAUGCUAAUACCGCAUAACAACUUUAAACAUAAGUUUUAAGUUUGAAAGAUGCAAUUGCAUCACUCAAAGAUGAUCCCGCGUUGUAUUAGCUAGUUGGUGAGGUAAAGGCUCACCAAGGCGAUGAUACAUAGCCGACCUGAGAGGGUGAUCGGCAACAUUGGGACUGGGACACGGCCCAAACUCCUAGGGGAGGCAGCAGUAGGGAAUCUUCGGCAAUGAACGAAAGUCGAACGGAGCAACGCCGCGGGAGUGAAGAAGGUUUCGGAUCGUAAAACUCUGUUGGUAGAGAAGAACGUUGGUGAGAGUGGAAAGCUCAUCAAGUGACGGUAACUACCCAGAAAGGGACGGCUAACUACGUG